Non-coding RNA from Phalacrocorax carbo (great cormorant), 539 nucleotides. NCBI's taxonomy places the organism in Eukaryota, Metazoa, Chordata, Aves, Suliformes, Phalacrocoracidae. The record is from RefSeq and is a predicted model, not a curated record.
UUCUGUCACAGCUGUCAGUAUCAAUGGCUCUUGCUUGGCACCGUACCCUAAAGGAGGAAGAGAGCGGCUUACUGUUUUAUGGUCAAGAAAGCAUGUGUACUGCCACAUCCUUUCCUUAAGGGAGUACUCUACUUUGCCUACGCUGAAUUUCAAAGGGCACGCAUGGAAAAGCAAGUUAAAACUGAAAACAAUGUAAUUGUGCUCCAUUGUUUUGCAUGAGACUUCUACUAGUAGAUCAAGAUACGGAAACUGAGUGUAUUUGAUGAAACAGACCUCACAAGACAGUACUGCCAAACCUGAUCCCCUCUGUUCUUAAUCAUAAAAAAAAAAAGAGACAUGUUAGUUUUGCUGACUUCUACCAAGAAAAGCAGAAACUGAAUAUUAGCGCUGUCAUUUCUAGAAAUGUAGUUGUUCUGUUCUCAAUCCUACUGAAGAAGAGGUAACAUACCGAGAACUACUUUGCACAGAAACAGUAUUUGUGUGAAGCACUAUUCAAUUUUCUGUUUCACAUCAAAUGCUGAAGAUGAACUUACCAUCUG